RNAcentral lists this ribosomal RNA (275 nucleotides) under uncultured bacterium. RNAcentral describes it as "partial 16S ribosomal RNA". It matches the Rfam family "Bacterial small subunit ribosomal RNA", at positions 338 to 630 of the family's 1533-position model. The record is from RNAcentral.
CCUACGGGUGGCUGCAGUGGGGAAUAUUGGGCAAUGGGCGCAAGCCUGACCCAGCAAUGCCGCGUGGGUGAAGAAGGUCUUCGGAUUGUAAAGCCCUUUCGACGGGGACGAUGAUGACGGUACCCGUAGAAGAAGCCCCGGCUAACUUCGUGCCAGCAGCCGCGGUAAUACGAAGGGGGCUAGCGUUGCUCGGAAUUACUGGGCGUAAAGGGCGCGUAGGCGGUUUGGUCAGUCAGGCGUGAAAUUCCUGGGCUCAACCUGGGGGCUGCGCUUGA